Molecule: transfer RNA, 59 nt
Filed under: Candidatus Venteria ishoeyi
Lineage: Bacteria; Pseudomonadati; Pseudomonadota; Gammaproteobacteria; Thiotrichales; Thiotrichaceae
Description: tRNA-OTHER
Rfam family: tRNA
About the family: Transfer RNA (tRNA) molecules are approximately 80 nucleotides in length. Their secondary structure includes four short double-helical elements and three loops (D, anti-codon, and T loops). Further hydrogen bonds mediate the characteristic L-shaped molecular structure. tRNAs have two regions of fundamental functional importance: the anti-codon, which is responsible for specific mRNA codon recognition, and the 3' end, to which the tRNAs corresponding amino acid is attached (by aminoacyl-tRNA synthetases). tRNAs cope with the degeneracy of the genetic code in two manners: having more than one tRNA (with a specific anti-codon) for a particular amino acid; and 'wobble' base-pairing, i.e. permitting non-standard base-pairing at the 3rd anti-codon position.
Source: RNAcentral
UGCAAUGUAGCUCAGUUGGUUAGAGCCUUGGUGCGGUGGUUCAAGUCCACCCAUUGCAU